RNAcentral lists this long non-coding RNA (1214 nucleotides) under Sorghum bicolor (sorghum). Its description in RNAcentral is "long non-coding RNA (SBIC_LNC003204)". The record is from RNAcentral. Lineage: Eukaryota; Viridiplantae; Streptophyta; Magnoliopsida; Poales; Poaceae.
UCCAGUGAUUGAGUGUCCUCAUAUGAUUUUAUCUAUGUACUUGAGCACUUUAUCUUCUUCACACCACCUAGAAUUCCAUCCCUCUUUAUAGUGUGGUGAAAUCUAAACUCAAACUCAAAACAUAAAGCGAGUUUUAGACCACUUGAGCUCGGACGCCUUCAAACUUCAAAUUGAGGGGUACCAUUUCAUCCAAAGCAUCCUUUAUAUCUUUCAAGGGACCAAAAGUUGCAAUAUGACUAGAUGAUCUCACUACUCCCUAAUUUGGAUGUUAUUAACACACCAAAACCACAACAGGGGCAAAUGCACUUUCACUCUUCAUCGUCUUUGUAUCCUUCGAUAGUUCCAUGUACUCCUAUCCCCAAAACAAAAAGUGCAUCCAAAACCAUCUGGCUUAAGCAGAAACUCCACUACAAAAAUUGUGAUCAAACUCAUUUAGGCACACACCAAAACAUAACCAAAACUGCGAAAGGGUCUCUAGCUUAGUGGUUAGAGCACCUGAGUAGCACCAGCAGACCUGGGUUCGACUUCCCGUGGGAGCGAAUUUAAACAUAUCUGCAUUAUCAAAAAAUAAAAAAAUAGGCUAGGGUUUCCUUGCUGACUUCGGUCAAAAAAAAACAUAACCAAAACUAGUCAAUUGCUAACAAGAUGAAGCAACAUUACUAACUUUCUGCUUUGGGCACCUGUAAAAAACAAAUCCGGUCUUCAUUACCAUUCUUGUUUGUUUUCCCCUUAAACCCAAGCACCCUAUGCUGAUCACACUUGGUGCACCGGAUGAGUGACAACUCCGGCCUCUUCCACCACCAUUUUCAUGAUUCGGACAAAUUGGAAGAUGACAAACCUAGCAGAUGAGUUGGGCGGGGACAGACAGUGGGAUGGUGGCAGAUCCUCUCCUCGUCGAUGAGGAUGGCGACCUCAACAAUGACAGAAUGAGAGAACUAACGACUAGGAUGGAGGCAAGCAUCAGGAUAGCGACAGAUCCUCUCCUCGAUGACAGUGAGAGUGAGGGCGAGGAUGAUGACAAUGAAGGAGAAAAGCGAUAUAGUAGAUGAGAGUUUUGGGGAUUGAGCGAUUAGGGAUUCGAGUGGGCCUACACUACAAGAGAAACCCCUCUUUUGCAAUGGAUAGGUGACAACGCUGAAUUUAUUAGUUGCAAGGAGUACGUUGACAACGUUUAUUAAACCGUUGGAAGCGUAUCUGUAUUCUUGUGAGCAGCC